This 70-nucleotide transfer RNA is filed under the name Marmota monax (woodchuck). RNAcentral describes it as "tRNA.Ala". The stretch from base 5 to 65 matches the Rfam family "tRNA", at positions 6 to 65 of the family's 71-position model. Rfam says of the family: Transfer RNA (tRNA) molecules are approximately 80 nucleotides in length. Their secondary structure includes four short double-helical elements and three loops (D, anti-codon, and T loops). Lineage: Eukaryota; Metazoa; Chordata; Mammalia; Rodentia; Sciuridae. The record is from RNAcentral.
GGGCUGGGGCUCAGUGGUAGAGUGCUUGCCUGGCAUGUAUGAGGCACUGGGUUCAAUCCCCAGCACCACA